CAGUAGCCGCGGUAAUACGUAGGGUGCGAGCGUUAAUCGGAAUUACUGGGCGUAAAGCGUGCGCAGGCGGUUUUGUAAGACAGGCGUGAAAUCCCCGGGCUCAACCUGGGAAUGGCGCUUGUGACUGCAAAGCUAGAGUGCGGCAGAGGGGGAUGGAAUUCCGCGUGUAGCAGUGAAAUGCGUAGAUAUGCGGAGGAACACCGAUGGCGAAGGCAAUCCCCUGGGCCUGCACUGACGCUCAUGCACGAAAGCGUGUGGAGCAAACAGGAUUAGAUACCCCCGUAGUCCCUGUCUCUUAUAC
Molecule: ribosomal RNA, 301 nt
Filed under: uncultured bacterium
Lineage: Bacteria
Description: partial 16S ribosomal RNA
Rfam family: Bacterial small subunit ribosomal RNA
Source: RNAcentral